RNAcentral lists this ribosomal RNA (492 nucleotides) under uncultured bacterium. Its description in RNAcentral is "partial 16S ribosomal RNA". It matches the Rfam family "Bacterial small subunit ribosomal RNA", at positions 29 to 507 of the family's 1533-position model. The record is from RNAcentral.
AGUGAACGCUGGCGGUAGGCCUAACACAUGCAAGUCGAACGGCAGCACAGUAAGAGCUUGCUCUUACGGGUGGCGAGUGGCGGACGGGUGAGGAAUACAUCGGAAUCUACUUUUUCGUGGGGGAUAACGUAGGGAAACUUACGCUAAUACCGCAUACGACCUACGGGUGAAAGCAGGGGAUCUUCGGACCUUGCGCGAUUGAACGAGCCGAUGUCGGAUUAGCUAGUUGGCGGGGUAAAGGCCCACCAAGGCGACGAUCCGUAGCUGGUCUGAGAGGAUGAUCAGCCACACUGGAACUGAGACACGGUCCAGACUCCUACGGGAGGCGGCAGUGGGGAAUAUUGGACAAUGGGCGCAAGCCUGAUCCAGCCAUACCGCGUGGGUGAAGAAGGCCUUCGGGUUGUAAAGCCCUUUUGUUGGGAAAGAAAAGCAGCAGGUUAAUACCCCGCUGUUCUGACGGUACCCAAAGAAUAAGCACCGGCUAACUUCGUG